UGGGAGCGUACCCUUCGGUUCGGAACAACCCAGGGAAACUUGGGCUAAUACCGGAUACGUCCGUAAGGAGAAAGAUUUAUCGCCGAAGGAUCGGCCCGCGCCUGAUUAGCUUGUUGGUGAGGUAACGGCUCACCAAGGCUACGAUCAGUAGCUGGUCUGAGAGGAUGACCAGCCACACUGGGACUGAGACACGGCCCAGACUCCUACGGGAGGCAG
Molecule: ribosomal RNA, 216 nt
Filed under: uncultured bacterium
Lineage: Bacteria
Description: partial 16S ribosomal RNA
Rfam family: Bacterial small subunit ribosomal RNA
Source: RNAcentral